Molecule: non-coding RNA, 420 nt
Organism: Trematomus bernacchii (emerald rockcod)
Lineage: Eukaryota; Metazoa; Chordata; Actinopteri; Perciformes; Nototheniidae
Source: the annotation of a RefSeq genome assembly
AACCACUGCAGCACACACAACACAUUUCCACUAUGACUUUAGCUACAUGUUUAAUGUUUCUGAUGCUUUCAUGGAUUUCUGGUGUUUGCAGUCAGACUCUGACUGAGUCUGAAGCGGUGGUAAAGCUCCCUGGACAGUCCCACAAACUGACCUGUACAUAUGCAGGAAUAUCAGAUAGUGAUGCUGCUAUCAGCUGGAUCAGACAAGCUGAAGGAAAAGGACUGGAGUGGGUUGCCCACAUUUCUGCUCCAAGUGGAACUAAUAAAUAUUAUUCCACGUCAGUCCAGAAUCGCUUCACCAUCUCCAGAGACAACAACGUGGACCAGGUGUAUCUGCAGAUGAACAGCCUGACGUCUGAAGACUCUGCUGUUUAUUAUUGUGCUCGACAGACACAGUGAUACAGAAAGCCACAGAGCUGUA